Molecule: ribosomal RNA, 512 nt
Filed under: uncultured bacterium
Lineage: Bacteria
Description: bacterial SSU rRNA
Rfam family: Bacterial small subunit ribosomal RNA
Source: RNAcentral
GGCUCAGGAUAAACGCUGGCGGCGUGCUUAACACAUGCAAGUCGAACGGAGUGGUUCUCCCGAGGAUUGAUAGUGCUUGCACUUGAUUGACUCAUUGAAUCACUUAGUGGCGGACGGGUGAGUAACGCGUGGGAAACCUGCCCUAUACUGGGGGAUAGCAGUUGGAAACGACUGAUAAUACCGCAUAAGCGCACAGCUUCGCAUGAAGCAGUGUGAAAAACUCCGGUGGUAUAGGAUGGUCCCGCGUCUGAUUAGCUAGUUGGUGAGGUAACGGCCCACCAAGGCGACGAUCAGUAGCCAGCCUGAGAGGGUGUACGGCCACAUUGGGACUGAGACACGGCCCAAACUCCUACGGGAGGCAGCAGUGGGGAAUAUUGGACAAUGGGGGAAACCCUGAUCCAAGCGACGCCGCGUGAACGAUGAAGUAUUUCGGUAUGUAAAGUUCUAUCAGCAGGGAAGAUAAUGACGGUACCUGACUAAGAAGCACCGGCUAAAUACGUGCCAGCCGCGGC